Molecule: ribosomal RNA, 490 nt
Filed under: uncultured Clostridia bacterium
Lineage: Bacteria; Bacillati; Bacillota; Clostridia
Description: bacterial SSU rRNA
Rfam family: Bacterial small subunit ribosomal RNA
Source: RNAcentral
GAGUUUGAUCCUGGCUCAGGACGAACGCUGGCGGCGUGCUUAAUACAUGCAAGUCAACUUGGCUUCAGAUAGCAAUAUCGAAAGUAGGGUGGCGCACGGGUGCGUAACGCGUAGGUAAUCUGCCCUAAGGCCUGACAUAACCUACCGAAGGUAGGCUAAUAUCAGAUGAUGCAGCGGCACUGCAUAGUGACAGUUGUUAAAUCUUCGGAGCCUGAGGAUGAGCCUGCGUCUGAUUAGGUAGUUGGCGGAGUAAUAGCCCACCAAGCCUACGAUCAGUAGCUGGUCUGAGAGGAUGAUCAGCCACACUGGAACUGAGACACGGUCCAGACUCCUACGGGAGGCAGCAGUAAGGAAUAUUGCUCAAUGGGGGAAACCCUGAAGCAGCAACGCCGCGUGAAGGAUGAAAUACUUUUGUAUGUAAACUUCUGUAAGAUGGGAAAAAUAUUCUCCUCGGAGAAUUGAUUGUACCAUCAGAGUAAGCCCGGCUAAC